This 258-nucleotide ribosomal RNA is filed under the name uncultured bacterium. RNAcentral describes it as "partial 16S ribosomal RNA". It matches the Rfam family "Bacterial small subunit ribosomal RNA", at positions 28 to 313 of the family's 1533-position model. The record is from RNAcentral.
GACGAACGCUGGCGGCAGGCCUCAAACAUGCAAGUCGUAGGGGGUGCAGCAAUGCAUCACCGGCGGACGGGUGCGUAACGCGUGGGAAUAUACCUUUUGGUUCGGAACAACUGCGGGAAACUGCAGCUAAUACCGAAUGUGCCCUAACGGGAAAGAUUUAUCGCCAAAGGAUUAGCCCGCGUAGGAUUAGCUAGUUGGUGAGGUAAUGGCUCACCAAGGCUCCGAUCCUUAGCGUUCUGAGAGGAAGAUCAGCCACAC